Molecule: long non-coding RNA, 2373 nt
Organism: Diorhabda sublineata
Lineage: Eukaryota; Metazoa; Arthropoda; Insecta; Coleoptera; Chrysomelidae
Exons: 2
Source: RefSeq, a predicted model, not a curated record
AAUCAUAGUUAUCUCUUGGAUUAUGAGCGAUCAUCUAAAACGAAUAUAAAUUUAGAUGCAAUACUAUAAAAAUAGUGCUGACGUGUAUAUAAUGUUCAAUAAAGUCCAUUUGCAGUAUUUCGUCAAGGUCGUGCAUCUGUCGGUGAUGUUGAGAAGGUUGGCCAAAACCGAUUGUUCAUUCGAUGCUGUGCGCAACAUGAUUAAAAAAGAUUGACAUGUGACUUACAGACAGAUAGCGGCGUCUCUUAGGAUAUCUCAGACUAAAAUACCAUCGAUUUUGCAUGAACAUUAUUGUGAAGAAGAAAAAUACGGGAUAAUGUCUCGUUGUUCGUAUUUGCCCUAUUUAUCUCCUAAUGACUUUUUUUUGUUUACCUCUGGCUGCAAAGAAAAGAUGCUCAGGCAGCUAUUUCAUCACCUUAAGAAGAAGAAGAAGAAUAUUUCGAAAAGCAAUAAAACACUAUUUGUAAAAACUUAAAAAUCAAUCCUUGUAAUAAUUCAUUACAUAAAAUAAUUGUAUACAAUUAUACUCCUCAGCAAAAUAGAUGAUGAAGAAAGAGCUUAUGUAAAUUGUUAGAAAUAUGUGCUAAAAUUGAUAAACGAUUACCAAUUACACCUCAAAAAUGCUUUAAUGAUUUAGUUUCGGGUUAUUAGGGUAUUAAUUUCGGAAUAAUUUUGGCUGGAUCUUGUGCGUUAACCAAAAUUGAGCACCAUGCCCGUUUGAGCUAUUAUAAAGUUAUAAACUGCUCUUCAUAGGAUUAGUGCACACUAUUUUCAAUGAUUUUAUCACACCAUUCAUCGUCAUCUUACAAUUCUGUUGUAUUCCACCAACUUUUCAUAUUACGGACAGAAUCAAAAGUAUUCAAAAGUUCACAUCAAAAAACUUUUAUAUAGAAAUAUUCAACACUAACAAAAUUAGGUUAGCAAAAAAAGUCAUCAAUAGUAUUCUUUUCGCUACAAUCAAUCGCACCUCCAAUAAUUCUUCACAUCAAAAUGAGUUUAUAAAACUUUAAAAACUAUAAAACUAUAAAACUAUAAAAAAAAUUAUUUGAAGGACUGUUUGUCUUGUUGAGAAUCAAAUGAGUUGAGAAACGAGUAUAUUAAUUUAUUUACGGUAAGUAACUUACCCAAAUUUACAAGAAGUCUAAAUAAGAUUGAAAUUGUGGUCGUCCUUUAUUCAAAUAUCAAAUUGCGAUAUUUAAUAUUCUUAUAUUGUAGCGAUAUGAUAAUAAUGAACUUAAAAAAUUGUUUAGGAAUACACUUUCGAAACAAAUCAAUGAAUAUCCGUGGUCAUAUAAAAUGUAACCGUAUCAACUUGUACCUGUACGCUCGUGUUAAACAAGGAUGUACAAUUAUUAUUUUUUAUCUCUGUAUAAGUAUUAAUUAACUUAGUAACUCAAAUUGAUCAAUUAAAACAUCUCUUUAUUGAAAACGCUCUUCAAAUUAACAUUCUAUCAUAAAUUAUAUUGAAAAUGUGCUAUAACUUAAGUGAUUUAUUCAUACCUAUACCUAGAUAAUUGCUUGUGACUUGAUUUUUAAUAUCUCUGUAGAGAAAAUAUCGACAUAAUUUUUUACCAGCGAAGGUAUAAAUUACGUUUACUUCCGCAGUUCACUUGAGAAGAAAUAUGAGGAAUUACAUUAAUAAUUUCAAGGGCGUUCGCAGAUCAUUACUCAAGAGAAAACAAAAUCACUGUCAUGUGUUCUCAUAUUCUUUAUAAUAAAUAAAUGAUGAUUAGUUUUGGGUGGAUUUAUAAAUUUAUUUCCGAACAAGAUCACUGCUGAUUAGUUAAUUUUCAAAUUUCUCUGUUAUCUCUAGAAUAAUAUAAGUGGAGGUAUAUGCGGUAACACUUAAUCAGUUAUUAACUACAAAAAUUAGAAACUAAGACCAAAUUUGAUAUCCUACUACAGAAAUUACGAAACAACACAUACAAGAACUGACGUCAGAAACAUAAAAUGUCUAAAAUCUUUCUGGCAAUGUUUUUCCGAACAUUCUUGUAAAGCUGAUGUAAUUGUCAUCUAUGCUAUGGAAAUUAAAAAAGUCUUUUUAAGAGAAUUAUUUUAUUUAUAUUUAAAUUAAUCACCACCUUAAGCAAUGCUCUUGUAACAGAAGAAUUCACAACUUAAAAGCUUCAAAGCAGUAAUCUUUUGGAAUAGUCUGAAAAAAUUGAUGAUUUGCUUCAUCUAUCUUAUCCUCAAUCAUGAAAUAUCGAGUCCUAAAAUGUGUGUAAUGUUGAAUGAUAAACAAUGUCUGUCAAAUUAUUUCAACGUAAAAAUUCAAGUUUAUGCUGUACUGUGUGUUAAGAUGAUGCAAUGUUGGAGCUGUACGUAAACUUUGUAAGUUGUAUCAAUUUGUUGUAAUUAUAAGUUGAUCUUAAA